AAAAUGAUUGGAAUAUGAUUGUAGAAAAAGUGUGUAGAAUGUAUAAAAGUACUUCAAAUUUAUCUUGUAAAUGGAUACCAUGAAGGGUCAUUUUAUCAUACCCAGUGGACUUGUAGAAAAAGCCAAACAAAUUAUGACUUAUAAUUUGUUAUGACUUAUCUCUAAACAUUUCUCUGAUGUUAUAAGUUUAAGGAUCAUACUGGGGUGUUUUUUCCCCUUUUACUUAGAAGAAAUAUGAUAAUUAUGUCACAUUACCUUUUUGUGGGGGUUCUUUCACAGCGGUGGAUGUCUGAAAAAUUUAUUCUUGAGGGCUUACGGGAAUUGGAACUCUUUGGAGACCAAUGAAGCAAGUUCAGAGUCAAUAGCAU
RNAcentral lists this long non-coding RNA (368 nucleotides) under Pseudonaja textilis. Its description in RNAcentral is "lncRNA (ENSPTXG00000017154.1)". The record is from RNAcentral. Lineage: Eukaryota; Metazoa; Chordata; Lepidosauria; Squamata; Elapidae.